RNAcentral lists this ribosomal RNA (253 nucleotides) under uncultured bacterium. Its description in RNAcentral is "partial 16S ribosomal RNA". It matches the Rfam family "Bacterial small subunit ribosomal RNA", at positions 524 to 776 of the family's 1533-position model. The record is from RNAcentral.
UACGUAGGUGGCAAGCGUUGUUCGGAAUUAUUGGGCGUAAAGGGCGCGUAGGCGGCUUGUUAAGUCGGCUGUGAAAGCCCGGGGCUCAACCCCGGAGGGUCAGCCGAUACUGGCAGGCUAGAGUACGGAAGAGGUAGCUGGAAUUCCCAGUGUAGCGGUGAAAUGCGUAGAUAUCGGGAGGAACACCUGAGGCGAAGGCGGGUCUCUGGGCCGAAAUUGACGCUGAGGAGCGAAAGCGUGGGGAGCAAACAGG